CGGCGUGCCUAAUACAUAGCAAGUCGAACGGCGUUUUCUAUGGAAGCUUGCUUCCACUGAGAAGAUAGUGGCGAAACGGGUGAGUAACAACGUGGGUAACCUGGCCCAUAAGAGGGGGAUAACAUCCGGAAACGGGUGCUAAUACCGCAUAGUUUUCUUGAUCGCAUGAUUGAGAAAGGAAGACGGCCUUUGUGCUGUCGCUUAUGGAUGGACCCGCGGCGUAUUAGUUAGUUGGUGAGGUAACGGCUCACCAAGACGAUGAUACGUAGCCGACCUGAGAGGGUGAUCGGCCACAUUGGGACUGAGACACGGCCCAAACUCCUACGGGAGGCAGCAGUAGGGAAUCUUCCGCAAUGGACGAAAGUCUGACGGAGCAACGCCGCGUGAGUGAAGAAAAGGUUUUCGGAUCGUAAAACUCUGUUGUCAGAGAAGAACAAGUUGGAGAGUAACUGCUCCAGCCUUGACGGUAUCUGACCAGAAAGCCACGGCUAACUACGUGCCAGCCGCAGC
Molecule: ribosomal RNA, 510 nt
Filed under: uncultured bacterium
Lineage: Bacteria
Description: bacterial SSU rRNA
Rfam family: Bacterial small subunit ribosomal RNA
Source: RNAcentral